UAGAAUGCCUGCAGGAGACAGGAAGCAUGGACUUCACAGUAUGAACAUGAUGGAGGCAGCACCAUCGGAGCCUUCCCUUGACCUGGAUAGCCUCAA
Molecule: long non-coding RNA, 96 nt
Organism: Amblyraja radiata (thorny skate)
Lineage: Eukaryota; Metazoa; Chordata; Chondrichthyes; Rajiformes; Rajidae
Exons: 3
Source: RefSeq, a predicted model, not a curated record